GGCAGUUGGGACACACACUUGCCUCUGAUUGAGUUUGCUUAUAAACAAUCAAGCAUUGGGAUGCCUCUAUAUGAAGCUUUGUAUGGUAGAAAGUGCAGAACUCUCCUGUGUUGGGAUGAAGUGGGUGAAAGAAAGAUGAUUGGGCCCGAAAUUGUUCAAUAGACUGAGGAAAAAAUCAGAUUAAUCAGAGAUCGACUCAAAGCUGUAUCAGACCAUCAGAAGUCCUAUAUUGAUCUGAAGAGAAGGGAUAUUGAGUAUAUAGUGGGUGAGAAAGUAUUCCUCAA
This 284-nucleotide unclassified non-coding RNA is filed under the name Hevea brasiliensis (rubber tree). The record is from RNAcentral. Lineage: Eukaryota; Viridiplantae; Streptophyta; Magnoliopsida; Malpighiales; Euphorbiaceae.